GAAAUGCGAUACUUGGUGUGAAUUGCAGAAUCCCGUGAACCAUCGAGUCUUUGAACGCAAGUUGCGCCCGAAGCCAUUAGGCCGAGGGCACGCCUGCCUGGGUAGGCGGGGCUACCCGCUGAGUUUAA
RNAcentral lists this unclassified non-coding RNA (128 nucleotides) under uncultured fungus. RNAcentral's name for it is "sequence contains ITS1". The stretch from base 1 to 107 matches the Rfam family "5.8S ribosomal RNA", at positions 50 to 154 of the family's 154-position model. Rfam says of the family: 5.8S ribosomal RNA (5.8S rRNA) is a component of the large subunit of the eukaryotic ribosome. It is transcribed by RNA polymerase I as part of the 45S precursor that also contains 18S and 28S rRNA. Lineage: Eukaryota; Fungi. The record is from RNAcentral.